UGUUAGAGAUUUAGCUCAGCGGUAGAGCGCUUGCCUAGCAAGCGCAAGGACCUGGGUUCGGUCCCCAGCUCCGAAAAAAAGAAAAAAAAAAAAAAAGAAAAAAGAAGAGGGAGCGGCCUUUCUGCCGAGUGCCCAGGGGAAUGGAGAAAUCGGCUGUGCAGUGUUUCCACAGAGAGUACCAUGAAGCAACCCAAACGAAUAGGGUAUUAACCCACAUAAGGUGCCAGGAAACUUCAGAGGUGCCAUGAUGGGGGAAAAGGAGCCAGGCCUAUGAGAACACGCACCAGGCUGUACAGCAGGCACCACGGAUCUAAGGAAAAUCAGGCCAACCCGAAAAAAAAAAAAAAAAAAAAAAAGACCCAGAUUUUUCCUGCAGUGUGGAGGAAGCUUUCCUGUGAGCUGGGCACAGAGUCAGGUCAGGGGAGGAACUGGUCUGCCUGUUGCCAAGCCUGGCUCAGUAAGUAUUUACGAGACUGGAGAAUCUGCUCACAAGCUGGGUAUAAUACCUACGUGUUUGCGUUCAUGAGCUCUAAAUUCCCGCCAUUGGUACCACACGGUUCGGUGCCUGGUUAUAUGCCAGAUGGUAAUGUGUUCUAGUGGCCGCCAUUUUUAUCACCCCAGUCAGAGGCAGGAGCACACCAAGAGAGAGCGGGAGAGCGGAUGGCUGUGAGACUUCGGAGUUUAGGGAAUAAAUUCAUAUUCCGCCCUGCAAGCUUUGCAGCUGUGGUUCUAGAACUGCAGGAGGUUAGCGAUGAUGCUCAAGACAAGCGCGCGAAUGCGCCCGACACCGUGCUGGGCUCUGGGGCAUGACACAGUAGGACAGGUCACAUGGGUCGCCUUCAUUUGAGGACACGUGUUCUGAGCAGCCUGAUGAUUGUGUGAAAGUAUGGAUAGUCUGACUCCUACACAUGUGAUAUUUUUCUUUUCUUUUUUUUUUUUUUCUUUUUUUCGGAGCUGGGGACUGAACUCAGGACCUUGCGCUUGCUAGGCAAGCGCUCUACCACUGAGAUAAAUCCCAAACCCCGAUACUUUUCUUUUCUAUAUAUGCACCUAGGAUAGUUUAAUUCAGAAAGUGAGCAUACUGGAGAUUAAUAAUUAGCAAUAGAAUAAGACAAUAAUAAUAAUAAUAAUAAUAAUAAUAAAUAUAGUCAUAAAAGUUACAUGGAAGUGGUCUCUCUAUCAAUGUAAUACCACACUCACCUUUUUCAGUGAGACGAUGAGAAUUGUAAAGCCUGUGUUAGGAAAAUGAUCUGGUCCUGUGAAUAACACCCAGGGACAUGUGAGCAAACACUGUUCGCCCAGACAGGGUACCAUCAACAGACCAACAAAAUGAUUGCACCCGAAUCCAGCAUAGUGAGGCUGUUGACUGGAUUUAGUUAUAGGGAUAUAGGUGGCAGACUGUCAGCUGCAUCACUGAAAAAUCUACCCCAGCUCAGAUGAGGACUCACAAAAGCCACAUAGUGCCAGAACAGGACUGCACCCCCAGCACUUCUAUUUGUAUCACCUUGUGGGAGGAGCCUUGUGAAUCUCCUGUUUCAGGAGUUUCCUGAGACUUGUGUGUUGUGCUCAGUUUCUGAGCCUUGAAGAGUCUCCCUCCAGGAAGGAAUGCUUCAAUUAGGGGGAAAUCACUACCAAGGAUUAUGUAAUAUCCUUCUUAGCAUUAGAUCUUCACAAGCACAUUGGAGCUCCAGCACUUGAUAAUAUCAUCCACAGCAGUGGUUCACCAGUGGAUUGCAACCCCUUUAGGGGGGGUCAAAGGACUCUUUCACAGGUGUCAUCCUAAGACAAUCAGAAAACACAGAUAUUGUGUUUCAUUGUGAUUCAUAACAGUAGCAAUGAAAAUAAUUUUAAGGUUGGAGGGGUCACCACAACAUGAGGAACUGUAUUAAAGGGUGGCAGCAUUAGGAAGGUUGAGAACCCCUGAUUCAGAGGAUGACAGAGUGACUGUGCUCUAGAUUUGACCUUGAACAAGUGUGACCUGAACGAAAGGAUAAUUUAUGGUGAUGAGGUUGUGGGUCACAGUGAGAUGGAUCAAGAUAGUGUGAGAUACCCUUAAGCUACUCAAACAAUGCACAAUUUAAAAGGGAUGAAUUGCUUAUUUCUGAAAAUUUUCCAUUCAAUAUUGUCAGUCCAUGCUUGUCCCAGGCAGCUGACACUGUUGAUCAGGGACCACCCUGUCUGUGGGCUUUGUUCGGGCUGAAAGAGUUCAUUGCCCCACUGGGAAGAAGACACAAUGUAACCGCCCGGAGACUAUACCAGAUUAUUUCUGCUUUGGCCCUGUUGUGGUGGGAAAGCCGAGUCUGAGGCAUCCGGUGAAAGGUUUUAUCAAACCAAAAUUAUACAGGUUUUAAAAAAGAAUUUCUUCUGUGGGGCAGACUGGGCAAAAUCUUAGAGAAAGAUCUGACAGGGCAGGUCAGGGCAGAGGCUCCAUUUUUUAUUCUUGCUGAGGCUGUUUCUAGCUCAAGUAGAAUUUGAUCCCCUUCAUGGGGAAUCCCAUUGGAAACUACCCAGCUCUGUUCUAGGAGCCGACGGUCAGGAUGCUAAUUUAACGUAGCCUUUGUUCAAACUGCUUGUGUGUGCAGGGUCUCCUCCAUCUAACUGUUUAUCUUAGCUUCCUGUUUGCCCAAAAUCCCCUCCAGCUGGCUGACCCCUUAUCUUAGCUUCCGUUAAAAUGGUUUGCUUCAAAGUGCUUCCUUUGUGAAGCCCCACCACCAGCUGAAGCUGUAGAGAGAGAUGUCUUGACAAGGUCUCUGCCCCCAAAAUCCCCAUGUUCUUUGUUUAGCUCUGCACCCCAUUUUUAAUAGGGUUAUUCUUUGGAUUCUUUGGAGUCUAACUUCUUGAGUUCUUUGUAUAUAUUAGAUAUUAGCCCUCUAUUACCCCACCUGGGGAUCCAUCCCAUACGCAGCCACCAAACCCAGCUACUAUUGCUGAUGCCAAGAAGUGCUUGCUGACAGGAGCCAGAUAUAGGUGUCUCCUGAGAGGCUCUGCCAGAGCCCUACUACCACAGAUGAGGAUGCUUGCAGCUAACCAUUGGACUGAAUAAGGGGACCCCAAUGGAGGAGUUAGAGAAAGGACUGAAAGAGCUGAAGGGGUUUACAAAAGGAAGAACAACAAUAUCAACCAACCAGACCCCACCAGAGCUCCCAGGGACUAAACCACCAACCAAUGAAUACACAUGGAGAGACCCGUGGCUCUAGCCACAUAAGUAGCAGAGGAUGGCCUUGUCCAGCAUCAAUAGGAGGAGAAGCCCUUGGUCCUGUGAAGGCUCAUUUCCCCAAGGUAGGAGAAUGUCAGGGUGUUGAGGUAGGAGUAAGUGGGUGGGAGUGGGAGCACCCUCAUAGAAGCAGGGGAGGUGGGGAGGGGGUAUGGGAGAUGGGGGCUAGGGGAUAACAUUUGAAAUGUAAAUACAUAAAAUAUCCAAGAAAAAUAAAAUUAAAAAAAAAAGGAAAAAAAAUCCCCAUGUUCCGGACAUGCAGGCCACACCCAUGUCCUUUCUCCCAUCCCCUCCUGCCACCCCCUUCUCCUACUCCCCUCCCCCUCUCCCCUCCCCACAACACUUGGGUGUGGUCCCAGCUGGCUGGAAUAAAGACUUUCAAAUGGCUAUAAACUUCAUCUGAACAUUCAUCUCUGGUGGGCUACCUGAGGCACGAGGAAAAGAAUAGUAUCCCUGAGAGGGAAUGGGGUCCUUUGUGGCACCCAAGAAAAGUUACCUGGCCCUUCUACCCUGGGCCACUCAGGUGAGGUUUUGUUUGCAGAGGUCAAGAGUUCAGUAUCUUGGGGUAUCAAAUCUCAUGAUAUCCCAUGUCUUCCCAGACACCAGCCAUUGGUCUCUAGGCUCUAAUUGCUUGUCAAAGGAAUCCCCAGCCACCGGCUCAGACUCCAAGCAUUUAGAAUCUAACUGCUAGGGAAUAGGUACUUUUGAUUUUGGUUCAGGGCUUUCCCCUAGUUUCUGGUCUGUAGGUUGAUGUCAUUAUGUAGGUGAAGGCAAACAAGUUAGGCCAAGGCCAUGAUUGGACAGUACAAAAGUAAGGCGGGGACAAAGCUUUUGUAAAAAGCAAGAGAGGAGGAGGAGAAUCAAGAUGGAGAUGGGAAGGAUGACCCAGAUCCAGGUGGUCUUGAAUGGCCAAGGUAGCAGGGAUGGAUUUCUGUGGGCAAAUUUGUCUUAUCGAGGUGGGCGGUUUAUAUCCUUAUCAAUUGGUUGUAAGUUCAUUGUGUGGAUGUACUGUGGAUUGAGAAUUUAACAUAUAAAUCUGCUUGUUGGGAUACAGUUUGUUGGUCUUGAUUUUACUGGGUAGUUGGGAGUUUAUACUUUAACUAUCAGGGGGUGGUGGCUGAGAGUGUGGGCAGAGUCCGUGGCAGGGAGCCAUGCUAGGCCAGCUGCUGCUGGACUUCUAGAGCCCUGAUUUUACCGGGUAGCUGGAACCAGAGAGUUUGAGGCUAGCAGAGAGCCACCCAGGGAGAUAUUAACUUGAGGUAAAUUAGCACUAGUUCCAAUGGCCAGCUGGAGCCAGAACUAGCAAGGGAGCGAGACCGUCAGGGUAUGUGCAGGAACUGUUCCGACUGAUUUUUAUUUUUACUGCAACGUUGGUCUUUGUGUGCUUCCUGUGCACAAGUCAUGUAUCACCAGUCUAUUGUGGUGUCAGGACAUCCUGGCACCACCCCCCUUUAUGAAGUACCACAGAACUUAGGGUGUUGUUUAAAUGGUCCUCCAGAGGGUAUGAUUCUAAGUCCCACAUGCUUCUCAGAAUGGAGGCUGUCUGAACAAGGCAUUGUAAAGACUUAAUCCCCCGUCUCUGUUCACCGGAGUUGACUAGUGGCGACAGCACCUUUGGUGCCUCAUCUUGCGGAGUAUGAGGGUGACUGUAAGGAUUCACUUUGACUAUGCAUCCGAGGCUGCCACCUCCAUGGUCUUCUAUUGUAUUUUGUGCAAGCCACUCCCUGCCCCCAAAGCCAAAAACCAUCCCAUGUGGGUUCUUGAGUAAGUGGUCUUUGGGACUGGCUGUUUGCUUCCUUGCUUGUCAAGUCAUCUUGCUGACCCCAAUCUGUAUUUAAGAAGGUUAUGACCCACUGGUUGAGAAGCACUGCUCUAAGGAGAGACAAACGAAAAGUGAGUGGGUAUUCCCGCCACUGUGAGAAUCCCAGGGAUGGAACUCAGGUUGUUAAUGUGGCGGCAACAAGUGCCUUCAUCCACUGGGCCAUCUCAACGGCUCUGAUUUUAGGCUCAGCUCUGACCUCCAGUUUGGGAUCUGGCCCAACUGUUGAGCUUUCUGCUUGCCACUUGCCCCAUCUGACAGGACCCCGUGACGUCACACACGGAUCUGUGUUAAACUCACAGCCAGGGCGAGGCACAGGGCUAAACCGAUCCAGGCCACUUCCAGUUGAAUUUGGAGCAAACACGGCAACGUUUGAAAGGCACAACUCAACAGAACCUUUCGGACUCCAGUAGAAUGCAACUGAGGAUUCGAGAGCACGGUCAGCUUCCUGGAAUCUGCUGUGGGUCUUUGGAAGAGGCUGUCUACUGAACUCCAACAAUCAUAAUCCCAUGUGUGCUGCCCCCUGACACCACUUCGUCCAGCUGAGGGCUUUCUGAAGUCCCUGGCCGUUCUUCUUUCUCUACGUACCAUGUCACUGUGUGGGCACGGAUCAGUUCUCUCUGAGAAGCUGAAAUUAGUUUUUCAGAAAGUGUGUGUCGUAAUUCUCACCCCUUGGCUUCAUAGCUUGGGUCCCCUGGAGGUUUUGCAAAUGCUCUUUUUCUUCCCUUCCAUUGUUUGUUUGUUUUUCAAGACAUCAUUUGUUUGUUUUUCUGUGUAGCCUCCCAUGUCCCCGGAACUCACUCUGUGAACCAGGCUGGCCUUGAACUCACAGAGAUCCAGCUGCCUCUGCCUGUUGAGGGCUGGGAUUAAAGGCUAGAGCCACUACUACCUAGCCCAGCUAGCACUCUUAAUCUUUACCUAUGUACUUCUUUCUCAUCCUACAGAAGCAUACAUCUACUUUCCAUAUAUCCCAAAUGAAUAUUUUCUGAAAGGCUGGGUCACAUUGCAUUCUUUUUUCUGCUAAUAACAACUGUAUGCUGGGUGUGAUAGGACUGGGGGCUUCAAGCUUAGGAAGAUUUGCUUCUGAGGGGCGCUCAUCCUGCGUGCUUAGCUUACGGGUUGCUCUCCAGUGAUCUUUUUUUGGCAGUAAAUCCACUUGCUGGUUUAAUUCUGAAUUGCAUUACUCUGAUUUUGCUGCUGAAGCAGGAGGAAAAAAAUAGUUUCUCUAAACGUCGUCAAAAAUACAGAAUUGCAUUUUGCACCGUAGGCAUGUUAGAAUUCUGGAGCCCAAGGAAACCGAGGCUGUGGAAUUGUGGGUUCUUAACCUUGGGUGAGCUUAAGAAGCCUGUUAACCCUAUGCAUUGCUGUGUGUGCGUAUAUGUGUCCAUGUGCAUGUACAUGUGGGUGCACAAGUGUAUCAUGUGCAUCCAUGUUUGUGCCUAUGUGCAUAAAUGCAUGUGUGUUCAUGUACAUGUAUAUGUGUGCCUGUCCAUGUGCAUGGCUAUGUGUGUCUGUGUAUCCAUAUACAUGUAUGUGUGUGUAUGAGUGUAUCAUGUGUAUCCAUGUUUGUGUCUAUGAGCAUAAACGUAUAUGUGUUCAUGUGCAAGUAUAUGUGUGUCUGUGUGUGUCUGUCCAUGUGCAUGGCUAUGUGUGUCUGUGUAUCCGUGUACAUGUAUGUGUGUGUAUGAGUGUAUCGUGUGUAUCCAUGUUUGUGCCUAUGUGCAUAAAUGUAUGUUCAUGUGCAUGUAUAUGUGUGCCUGUGUAUGUGUAUGUGCGUGCCCCCAUUAUACUUGAAGACCACUUUCCAUUAGAUUUUCAAAUGAACCCAUGGUAGAAAUAAUGGUUCAAAAUCAUAAGGCAAUCAUUUUGGAAAGGAACAGGCUGAAUCUAGAAACCCGGCCCAAGGUCAGUCUCUAACUAUUCCGGGGCCUUAGCAACCAAAUUAAACACAGUCUUGUUUCUAACUCAUAUCAACAGGACUUUUUAACCACCUCCCCCCAAUUCCCGAAGAUCUCUGAGGCUGAAAUGAGCCAUUCUGCACCGGCUCUGCCGUGAGCCCAGGUGUAUCUCUGCAUUUCCCUCCUUAGCUAUAAAAUAGGAAUGAGAAAUAAUUUUUACAGUGGAAUCGAGGUGGCUCAGUGGCUAGAGGCAUUGCCAUCAAACGGAUAAUUUGUGUUGUCCGCGUGGAACCACGUGGUAUAUGGGAAGUUGUCCUGUGAUCCCUACAUUUGCAAUGUGGUACACAGUAUGUGCAUGACGACACACACACACACACACACACACACACACACACGCCCACACUACUUUUUUUUUUAAGAUUUAUUAAUCAUAUAUGAGUACACUGUAGCUGUCUUCAGACACACCAGAAGAGGGCAUCAGAUUCCAUUGCAGAUGGUUGUGAGCCACCAUGUGGUUGCUGGGAAUUGAACUCAGGACCUCUGGAAGAGCAGUCAGUGCUCUUAACCACUGAGCUGUCUCUCCAGCCCACGCACACACUACUUAAGGAAAUGUAAAAUAUUUUAAAAAUUCAGUUAUAUUGUUUUACUUACUCACUUUACAUCCUCACUUUACAUCCCUUCCACAAUCCUUCCCCAUCCUCCUCCCCCUUAUUUAAGACAGUGGGGAUCCCCCAGGUAUUCCCCACUACCCUCUCAAUCAAGUCUUUUUGAGGCUAGGCCCUUUCUCUCCCACUGAGGCCAGACAAGACAGCUCAGCUAGAACGACAUAUCCCACAUACAAGCAACAGCUUUUUGGGACAGCCCCUGGUUCCAGUUGUACAGGACCCACACGAAGGCCAAGCUACGUACAAGUAGGAAGGCCUUUUAGGGAACCCUUUAUAGAGGGUUUCGUAGGACUGUGGAAAGAGCAUGCUAAGUGUUGUAAAGGCAGUCAAUACAGGAGCACUGUUGGGCAUGGUUAUCAGCUGAGCCAAACCACCGCCAUCUUUGGGAGUUCCGCUGUACCCGCUUGUAAAGACCACCCCGCUGGGGUUGUUGUCUGUUUGAAUCCUCCAAUAGUUCCAGGCACUCUCUACCACCUGCUGUGUGUAAUUCCUCCCUUCUGCGCACAGCCUUGUGGCUUCAGACCGAGAUUAGAGUAUGUGAGAUGGGGGAAGCCUAGAGGAAGGCGGACCAUCUAUAUAGCUAUGUGGAAAGCCAUCAUCCUAUGGGGAAAGCCAUGAUCCGUGCUGCAUAAAGACUUUUCUGUAAGACCUUUUGGAAGGGAACACCCACUCCAGGAAGUAGCCUGUCACCUCAGGAAGUCCGGCUAACUCAUUGCUUUCCCAGAAGGAACUUUGGUGGAAUUGAGCCUUAGUUUUUUGUUAUAAGCAUGAGGGAGUGGGAGGGAAGGGCAUCAGCAAUUUUAUUUUAGCGACAGCCACAUAACGUAUCAUUUAGCUUGUCUGACACAUCCAAAAGACACAUCUGUAAGAACAGAGAACCGAUCAGGGAUUUCUCGGAUGGUUUUCGAUUGAGCUUUGUAGACCAUUAAUAAUUGAAAUAAGGAUUAAUCGAACACAAGCACUGCCAUACCACAAUGCUCAAUCAGAUAACAGGGGCAGCUGGUAACUGAUGAAUGGAUGGGUGGUGUAUACAGGGUGGAUACUCUGGCAGGGGGAUGGUUUAUGUCCCAUAAAGAACAGAGAAGGACGGCACGAGAUUUCAUCAGAUGGCGUGCAAUUUAAAACUUACGGUUUAUUUCCAGGACUUUCUAUUUGAUGUUUGCGGACCGUUGUCAUCAACUGUGUGGCUAAAACUGGAAAUCCCAAAGUGUUUUUCUCAGUUGUGCCCAUCCUUAGAAAACCAGGGGUGAGUCUUGGUUUAACCCAAAGUGAAGCAUGCUGUGUUCUUAUGGUGGCGCGCGAGACGGAUCGGAGCGGCACGCUAUUUGCUGACCCCUUAGCUUUAUCAAGCCUUUUACCAGUACAGCCUGGAGAUCCAUUGCUUGCUUUCUUCUGCCUGAUUCUCCUCAACUGAGCCAGCAGCCAUGUGACUGCUUUCACGAACUUAGUGACUCAGAAAGGUUGAAUAGGGGGAGAGGCAGCUGACAGCUAUAGAAACAAAGGCCCACAUCACAUGACAGACAGGAGGCAGGCCCUGGGUCAGCGCUAGAAGCAACCAGUGGGAGAGAGGAGACGGGCCCACUGUGAAAGGCACGGCUCACGAUGACAACAGCAACGUGACUCUUUUAGAACAAAAGGCAUCUUUAUGUGAGCAUGACUUUAACUCAAAAUAAGAGGAAGGAUGGCAGAUGUACCCUGGACGUGGAACUUUGUCUCCUCUUGGUCCUCAUGUGAUUGGGGCACAAUGAAUGCCCAGGCUCCGGGGCAGAGAGACAGUGGUAGUCACUGGAUCUUGCAGAUGUACUCAGCUUAAAUAAGCUUUCUGGUUUUGUUCUGGUUUGGGUCAAACUGGGGAUAACAGUAUUUCAUUUCACUAUUAUUUGUGUUUUGCGAGCUCGUGUAUACAAAGGUCCCUUGCAUAUUUUGAAAGAUAAAUAAUACAAGUAUUACAAGGAGCAAAUAAAAGUCCGAUAUUAUUGUUUAA
This is a non-coding RNA of Rattus norvegicus (Norway rat), 9580 nucleotides long. The record is from RefSeq and is a predicted model, not a curated record. Lineage: Eukaryota; Metazoa; Chordata; Mammalia; Rodentia; Muridae.